AGCAAAGGACCUGAGUAAACUGAUUCAGAGCAAGCAGAAUCUAAACAGUGUGCACAUGAUAGCCAAUCCAAUGAGAGUGGUGAAGCCGCCAACCAAUGGCCAGUCGCUCCCUCAGACACAGAUCCUGGUUUUGCCUCCUACUGACACGACAGAUCUAAAGCCACAG
Bombina bombina (fire-bellied toad) is the source of this 166-nucleotide long non-coding RNA. RefSeq lists it as uncharacterized. The transcript has 3 exons. The record is from RefSeq and is a predicted model, not a curated record. Lineage: Eukaryota; Metazoa; Chordata; Amphibia; Anura; Bombinatoridae.